This is a long non-coding RNA of Micropterus dolomieu (smallmouth bass), 618 nucleotides long. RefSeq lists it as uncharacterized. The transcript is spliced from 3 exons. The record is from RefSeq and is a predicted model, not a curated record. Lineage: Eukaryota; Metazoa; Chordata; Actinopteri; Centrarchiformes; Centrarchidae.
UGGCGGCUCAGAUGACAGGGGAGUCGCUGUGACCGGUGUUCCCUCAUCAGACAAUGAGCUGUUGGUGCAAGCUGUUGCACUGCACUCACUGUCCACCCCUGCUGCAUCACUCAGCCGUCUGUACAGAAACAAAUUUCCCUCUGAAUUUACAGAUGCAAAAGCUCACUGAGAUCCAGAAUUAUUAAAUCAGUCAAUGCAAAGUGGCCUACCCCACCCAUUCUAUGAGAUGGAGAGGCUUUUGGUCAUUGUGGGAAGUGAAGAGGAAGAGGAGAAAAUGGAGGCUGGAGAGUUGUCUUUCGCAGAGUCUGAAAAACAGAUCGGGACAUUGAGCAGGAUGAGGCAUCAUUCACACCUUGGAGGCUUUUCCAUUCUACAAAUAGACACUUCAAAUGUCUGCUUUCUGUUCAGAUGCUUUGUAUAUAUCUAUGUAGCCACUGAAUGUAAUACUAACUGGAUUAUAAAGCUGUGAGGGAGUGUGCAUUAGUUAUCUUUCAUUGUUCAACUGAGCAUGCAGCCUGCAGUUGUGACAAUAUGUUGUAGUAAUUGAAGCAGAUUUUGUUUUGACCUUGACACCUUUGUCAGUGAAGACACAGAGCACAAUCACAUUAAGAAAUAAAA